Long non-coding RNA from Oncorhynchus tshawytscha (Chinook salmon), 526 nucleotides. The record is from Ensembl. Lineage: Eukaryota; Metazoa; Chordata; Actinopteri; Salmoniformes; Salmonidae.
GGGUCAUAGGUCAGCUGGCAUCAGAGAGGAGAGGGUCAUAGGUCAGCUGGCAUCAGAGAGGAGUUGGUCAUAGGUCAGCUGGCAUCAGAGAGGAGCGGUUCAUAGGUCAGCUGGCAUCAGAGAGGGGAGGGUCAUAGGUUAGCUGGCAUCAGAGAGAAACGGGUCAUAGGUCAGCUGGCAUCAGAGAGGAGAGGGUCAUAGGUCAGCUGGCAUCAGAGAGAAGAGGGUCAUAGGUCAGCUGGCAUCAGAGAGGAGAGGGUCAUAGGUCAGCUGAUAUCAAAGAGGAGAGGGUCAUAGGUCAGCUGGCAUCAGAGAGGAGAUGUUCAUAUGUUAGCUGGCAUCAGAGAGGAUAGAGUCAUAGGUCAGCUGGCAUCAGAUAGGUGAGGGUCAUAGGUCAGCUGGCAUCAGAGAGGAGAGGGUCAUAGGUUAGCUGGCAUCAGAUAGGUAAGUGUCAUAGGACAGCUGGCAUUGGAGAGGACAGGGUCAUGGGUCAGCUGGCAUCAGAGAGAAGAGGGUCAAAUGUCAG